This 113-nucleotide ribosomal RNA is filed under the name Periophthalmus magnuspinnatus. The record is from RNAcentral. Lineage: Eukaryota; Metazoa; Chordata; Actinopteri; Gobiiformes; Gobiidae.
UGGAAAAUAUAGACCUCCUGAUCAAGGUCUGAUCUCGACUGACCUCAGAAGCUAGGCCGGACUGGGUCUGGUUAGGGCUUGGAUGGGAGACUGCUGGGAAUACCAGAUGCCAC